RNAcentral lists this ribosomal RNA (426 nucleotides) under uncultured bacterium. Its description in RNAcentral is "bacterial SSU rRNA". It matches the Rfam family "Bacterial small subunit ribosomal RNA", at positions 355 to 787 of the family's 1533-position model. The record is from RNAcentral.
UGGGGAAUAUUGGGCAAUGGGCGAAAGCCUGACCCAGCAAUGCCGCGUGAAUGAAGAAGGUCUUAGGAUUGUAAAAUUCUGUCCUAUGGGAAGAAACAAAUGACGGUACCAUAGGAGGAAGCCCCGGCUAACUACGUGCCAGCAGCCGCGGUAAUACGUAGGGGGCGAGCGUUGUCCGGAAUUACUGGGCGUAAAGAGAGCGUAGGCGGCACUGUAAGUUUCAUGUGAAAUACCCCGGGGACUUAACUUGGGGGGCUUGGCAUGGGAAAAUCUGCAGAGCUUGAGUACGGGAGAGGCAAGCGGAAUUCCUAGUGUAGCGGUGAAAUGCAUAGAUAUUAGGAGGAACACCAGUGGCGAAGGCGGCUUGCUGGACCGAAACUGACGCUGAGGCUCGAAAGCGUGGGGAGCAAACAGGAUUAGAUACCC